This is a non-coding RNA of Odocoileus virginianus texanus, 2408 nucleotides long. The record is from RefSeq and is a predicted model, not a curated record. Lineage: Eukaryota; Metazoa; Chordata; Mammalia; Artiodactyla; Cervidae.
AGGUGAACGGCCGCUGCAGGAGUGCAGGGGGGAGGGGGAGGGCAGGCGGGGAGUCUCUGCGGGGCUUGGAGAGCAAGCCCCACAAACCGGGAGGAAGAGGGUAAAGGCAGGAGGCGGCCAACGCCUCCCACGUGGGCCCCCUCCUGUUACCCAGCCCUGCUCUGGACGACACUGACUCCCCCUCAACUUGCACCGAAACCCGAGGCCCAAGAGGCGAAGUGAGCAGCCCCAGUCGCCGAGCAAGGCUGGGAGGUCUGCCAAGCUAGGCCUCUCCAACGCCAGGGUGCACCCCUGCCUGGGCCCCCACCUCGGAAGGCUAGGGGGGAGGGGGCAAGCGUGGGGGACGGCCCGCCCCACCCUGCACACAAAGAGGCAGGCAGCCAGGGAGGCAGGAACUGGGGUUCGGUCUAUCGGGUUCCACAUGGGGUUCACACGAGGGGAAGCAAAGGAGGGGCUGGCCUCCAGAGGGUCUCGGGCUUAUGGGGACCCGCAGGAGCUGGAUGCAGUGGAGGACUCCCCAAACAAAAGCCACAGUCUCAGCGGAUCUGCAGGGGAGAGGAAAGAAGGAGACUCCGGGGGACGGGAGGCAGGGCCAACAGUGCCACUCAGCUGUCACAACACCGCCUUGUCCAGACGCCCACGCGCCCAGCACCCACGGACGUACCGGCUCGGCCACCACCCAGGCCGAGAGCAUAGGCCACGCUCCAACCAGCAGUGCCACUCACGGGCCACACAAGGAAGCCAGACCAUCCAUACUGCCUUCCAGGCCUUUCCAUCCCGGGCCUCUGCCACACCAGCCAGCAGAGGGACAACCCCCAGCCGCUGGGGUCACCCAGUCACCCUCUACCGCCCCAGCCCCUCGGGGCACCCCAGGGUCCUCCUGCUGCCCAACCAGGCCCCAGGCGGACUGAGGGGAGUCUGGGUCCAAGACUGGAGGCUCCCCGAGGGCCGGCCUGAGGUCGCUCUGGUGAAAGCUGGAGGCCCUUCCAGAUGCCUGCCCCUCGGCUGGCCGCCCUCCUCUGGCCGACAGCCCCAUCUUAAAACAACUGUGCUUUGAUUCAGGCUCGUUUUCUCCCGCUCUUCCCAGCCAGGCUGCUCAAUCCUCCCAUCCCAGCCCCUUCAGCAGACCACCCGGGCUCCAGACUGCAGCAAGGCCCUUCUGUCCCGGCCUCAGCCCCACGGCUUCUGCCCUUGUAGUGGACCUUCUUCCUUUCUUCACCCAUCCAUCCCUUCAUUCAUUCAACACUCAUUCACGCAGCGCCUCCCUGAGUAGUGACCACCACAGACUCCUGUCCCAGAGGCUACCAGCUUAAGGGGAGAGAUGGAGGAGCAACAAUACGAAGGAGAACAUAAGUGAUCUGGUGGGCUGGAAGGCAGUGCAUGCCACAGGAGGACAAGGGGGCUAUUAUGGAGUCAGGGUGGGCAGCUGUCCCGGGGCAAGGUAUGUCCACAGCUUGCAUUACACCCCGAACUGUGACAGCUGCGGGAAUGACAGAAGCGGGGCGCUGAGAGGUGGGAUUUGUGGGUUUCCCCCAAGACUAGCCAAGGUCCCCGCCUUGUCAUCACACUCCUCUCAGUAGCUCCUCAAGGCCCAGGCGACCCCAGGUUCCAACAUCGCACCCAAGAGUCUUCAGCAUCCUCCUUUCUCAGGCUCAGCGAUUUUCCUCACCAUUCGGCCUCGGUGCUCGUCUGUCCAACUCACUCGCAGAGCCCCCUGGCUUUCUAGAGGCCUCCUGAGCCUUCACCAGUGGUCUGCAUCCGCCCAGUUGCAUCCGCCUGGUCCAAGCCCAUCAGUACAAGAAUGAACACAAAGAGCUGAUGGGGCCAGAGCAGACCUGAGCAGCUCCUGCCAGCUCACUUCCUCACCUUGCAGGCAGAGAGGCGGUGAGAGGUCCACCUGGACCCGGUCACCUUGGGGGGCAGUGCAGGGAGCAGGAAAGGCCAGGGGAUGAGACACCCAGAGACAAGGAGUAAGACAGAGUGGGGGAGGGGGGCCCGGGUAGGCUGCCCCAGAAGGGAAGGGGGGGGUGGGCUGCAGAUCCCCCACCCCCACCAAGGGCAGAGACUCUCCUCAGGGCUCUGGAGUCCUCUGAAGAAAAUGCUGGCUCCAACCAAGGGGUCAGGCCGCCAGCCCACCGUGUCCUCCUCCAUCACCUCUCACCCUCCACCCUCGGGUGGCAAGUGACCUAGGGCCUUUGCACAGACUGUUUCCCUGCUCGGGGCACUUCAGCUAGAGACCCUCAUGGCCCCACUGUCACCUGUAAGAGACGUCUUUAUCACUUCUAACCCCAGCCCUGCUCCAAUCUCCCCUCGCCCCCAUCAUUUUAUUUAUCUCCAUUUGACACCAGGCUCUCCGCUUACUGCCUGCAGCCCCCACUGAAUGUCGCUUUGGGCGGGCAGGGACUUCA